RNAcentral lists this non-coding RNA (25 nucleotides) under Mus musculus (house mouse). The record is from RNAcentral. Lineage: Eukaryota; Metazoa; Chordata; Mammalia; Rodentia; Muridae.
UGAUGGUAUGCAGUUCCCGGGUUUC